ACCUGGGUGGCUCAGUGAGUUAAGUGUCUGACUUUGGCUCAGAUCAUGAUUUCAUGGUUCGUGGGUUCGAGCCCCACAUCAGGCU
This 85-nucleotide transfer RNA is filed under the name Felis catus (domestic cat). It matches the Rfam family "tRNA". Rfam says of the family: Transfer RNA (tRNA) molecules are approximately 80 nucleotides in length. Their secondary structure includes four short double-helical elements and three loops (D, anti-codon, and T loops). The record is from Rfam by way of RNAcentral. Lineage: Eukaryota; Metazoa; Chordata; Mammalia; Carnivora; Felidae. RNAcentral also lists the same sequence under 2 other names.